UGAAUAAACAACAUAUAAACCUAAUAAUUAUUGUGACAUUUCUAUGAAUACGAAACGAAUAUACACUUGGAGAAUCAAUAUAAUUUCUUAGUUAAAUUUUUUUAAGUAUUACUGUUGUAGUACUUAUGUUGCAAGUAUCUCCAACAACGUAUCGAGCCUCAAUUUUUUUGCUACCACCGAUAAGAUGCUUUAAAUUCUCAAACACAAUUCUCCGGACGACAUCUUAGACAUAGCUGCACUCAUGCAAACAAAAAGGUCAGAAUAUUAUACUAAAAUAAGAUGUUCUUACGUACUAGAAUAAAAAUUUGAGAGAUACAUUCACAUCAUAAUUGAUUACAAUUUAUAUUUGUAACAAUACUCAUAUGUAUCUGAGUACACAUAUUUAGCUAAAAAUAAAACAAAACGACACACAUAAAUAUACACAAGUAUAGAACCACUGAUACAAGAAACAAAAAAAUGUAUCAUGUACAAAAAAAUGUAUCUCAAUGUUAUUAACUUAACAACAAAAAAGUUACGUAGAAUAAUAACCAAUUUAACGUUAGAUACAUAAUUCAUUAAAUUAAAUAUAAUUUUCAACAUCUGAUAUGUUAAAGAAGAUGCAUACAUUUUCUUGCCUGAUCUUUUAGCAUAGAAAUUGAAUGAAUGCUCAAUUGCAUACUUUGCCAUGACUGAAAUUAAAGUACACUUGUCCUUAUAGAUUUUUCCAACCUUAACUUCACUAUUUUUGGAAUUAGUAAUGAUCUUGUUCCCCUUCAUAUCAAAUAACGGCAUAGGAGCAGAAACUUUAGAUUUAUAAGUAAUUAAUUUCGGAACUUUUUCACUAGGAUUUUCCAAACACAUUACAGCACCAACUUUAUCAUCAAAUAACUUCUCACUAGCAGACUUAUCUUCUGUUGUGAUGCUAAGUGCAUACAUCUCAAAAUCAAGCUCACUUUUCUUAAUUUCAAUAUAAAGCCUUACACCCAUCUCAUUACAGAUCAACAACAGUGUCGUAUUACCAUCAACUAUGUAUCGAACCUCAAUUUUUUUCGACUUUCGUCAAAUUUUAUCUCUAACGUAAUUGUCGAAAUCAACUUUUCAUACGACACAAAUUCACUAACAACGAUUUCGUUGCUCUUAUAGCCUUCAUACUUUAUAUCGUUAUUCCAAAUGUUGGAGUGAUGUAAUAACACUGAAAUAUUCAUUGCAAUUACCUCAAAAGAAAAAAAAAUAAUUUCAAUUUUUUUUUAUGUGGAAACUGAUUUUGUUUGAGGAUUUUGUUUAAAAAGUGGAAUAACAAACUAAUUACCUUAUAAUGUGGGAUAUUAUUUGCGUUUUUACCUUAAUUAGUUAUGAUAAUUGCUACAUUAAUGCUAUUUAGGCAGUUACAUCCCUCAAAACAAGCAAAUUAAUUUAAUAAUAACAUGUAUCUACAGGAUGUAUCUAUCGCAAAUUGAAUGUAUCUUCAAAGGCCAUAAGUUGGGAUUUUAGAAAAUUUUGAAAAAAGUUAGGAAUAUUUAAUAAAUACCACUAAACAUGUCGUUAUAUAUGUAAUUUUUACUUAAAUAAUUGCUAUGAAUCGUAAUAAGGAGAACUAUAGCCUCUACACAUAAUUAUGAUCCAAACUAUGUAUAGCUAUUUAUGAAAAAUCCUCUUUUUAAAUUAAAUUAAAUAUGAGUGACCCAUAAUAUCAAACACUAAUUAACAACAAGUGGCCCAUCUAUUUCUUGUCAGGCUAUAUCGAAUUUACGGACCACUAACUAUAUCAUUUUCAAGGCCCAUUGGAAAAUGAUGGCACCAAAAUAUUGUAUGGUUUAUAAGCUAUGUAAUGUCAUGCCUACUGUUUGUUUGAUGAACCAUAGCUUUCUAAAUUUAAGUAAAUAUGACAAAAAAAUUGUUUUGUGUAAUAAAAUGAAUUUAUUUGUAAUGGCUAAAUGAAAAUAGGAAUUCAAUUGAAUUUUUAACAAAAAAAUUAUAUUAUAUAAAUAAAAUAAAAAUAAUUAUAUUAAUUGUUAAAUCUUAUUGACAUAAUAAGACUGUAGUAAAGUGAUCGAGGUGAUUCAAAAUUACUUUAGGUCAUAUACUUAAUCUUAGGGGUUCCAUUUAGUAUUACAUCUAGAUUUGUUUUUGUACACAAACCUGCAUUAGCUUAUCAUGAUGAAUGUUAAAAUAAAAACGUAUAUUAAUUACAGGAGUGUUUUAAUAAAAUUAAUGGCCUAACAUUAUUUUUUAAUAAGAGGUCUUACAUAUAUAAACACACAUAUAAAAAUACUACUAUAAUAAUUUUGAGUUGUCUUAUUUGUUCUUACAUAUUAGUUAUUUUUGAUGUAAUAUUUUUAAAAGAUACAUAAUCUUUAACUUCACAUAUUAAUAUGAUUAUUAAUUAAAGUGAGGAUUAAUUCUAGUUAAUAAGAUGUUUGUCAUUUGUUUGCAAACCAUUAACUUGGGUGUUGUUGUUAAACCUUUAUUUAUUAAUAUGAAGUUUGAGUUGUUUAAUUCAAAGUUCUAAAAUAUUUUUGGUAGAAAUUAGGAAGUUUUUUGUUGUUGUUGUUGUUGUUAUUAUUAUUAUUUAGAUAUAUUUUUUUAAAACGUAUUUCACAAUUUUCAUUAUUAUUUCAAGUGAAGUUGAAAUCAUAGAGUUCACUAUUAAAAUUUUUGACGCCUCAAGAUUUUGAGGGUCAAAAGAAUAACGGUUUACUAGCCUUACCCUUAAGUCACCCUUGAUUAAUUACUUAUAAUAUGUAUUAGUUUGUCUCUCAUUUUAACUGUUAUUUUAGCUCUUUUUGUAUAGACGGUUGGAGUAACUAUUUACGUAAAGAUAUAUGCCAUGUAUUUAUAUAAUCAGAAAGUAUAAUUAAGCAUUUUCAUUGUAUACUCCCUCCAUUCGCUUUUACUUAUCACUAAUUUCCUAAUAAAUUGUUAUUUUAGAAUUUUUUUUUCUAUUUUGCCCUUAGCAUUAAUUGUUCUUUCUCCAAAUUAAUUUCAAUACACAAUGUAAACAUUAUUUACUAGGAGUAGAAAUUUAAUUAAAAAAUUCAUUACAAGUAAAAGCGAACGGAGGGAGUAGCUGUAUUGCAGAAUGCAAAGACAUGAUUUUACUAUCUUAUCUCAAAGUUAUAUUUUCUAUAAAAAUAUUUCUACUAUUUAAUUUAAUUUCGGUCUUUAUUUUUUGGUUAAUUGGGAAGUUAUGCAAAUAAAAAAAAAAAAACUGCAAAUCCUUACAAAUCUCCUAUCAUUUUAUAAUUAAUUUUUUAUUUUAAUUACUCGAUCAAUUUCUUUGUUUCAAUUUAUGUGAUAUGUAAUUAACCUUCGUGGAAUUAAAUGAUUUUUUAAAUUCAUAUUUAAAUACUUUAUAUUAUUGUCUAUUUUCAGUUAUGCACCUUUUGUUUGGUAUUCAAACAUGUGAAUUUUAUAGCAAAAAUGUAGAAAGAGUCUAUGUCUAAAUGAAAAUGAUUUUCGAUUAGGAAUUGGCUUUUUCUAUUAAAAUAAAUAAAUAAAUUGGGUAAUAGGAAUAUUUAAUUUCAACCAUAGUGGCAGUUUGAUUUGAUCUUUAAUUAGAAAGAUAAACAAGUUUUGAGUAUAAUAAAUUAAUUCAAAUCAAGAAUGAUCAUUGGAGACGCUUUAUUAAAAUAAGAUAUCUUAUCAAAUCAAGAACAUAAUCAUAGACGUUGACAUAAUUCAUAAUUUUUAACGAGCAAAACUAUGGAUGCAAUAUAUUUUUUAUUGAUAUAUAUAUAUAUAUAUAUAUAUAUAGGUUUACUUAUGCUUGGAACAUAGCAUUUCAUUAAUAUAUAUAUAUAUAUUUAACGAGGAGUAAAAAUUAUAUUCAACUUGUAAUUUUAUUUUUAAAAUCAAAUAAAUACACAUCAAGAAAAGCAUAACUAUUAAAUUAUUUCAUUAUUAUUUAAUUUUGGUAUUUUUGUACUCUUAUAUUGCCGGGGUAACUUGAUUGCACGCCAUAGCAGUUAAAAAUAAGAAAAAAUCACUUAAGACCACACCUUAAGUUUUCAUUAUUACUUAGAAUUUCAUCUCACUAAACUAAUUACAAAAAUUCCUUCUAACUCAUAAAUGUCACUUAUUUUCAGAUACAUCACAAUUUAUCCCUAUUACAUCGCCUACACAGCCGCAAAUCUCGCCCAAAAUUCAGCUAAUAUAUCCGAUGAUUUUCUCAACUCACUCAUUUUGAAUUACCAUAGUCUUCUCAUCCAUUACUUCUACAUUCAAGUUAAAACCUUUCUUUUUCAAAUUUCUUUGAGGUUAAUUUCUUUUUCAAUUUUUUUUUUCAAAAUUCAAUCUAUUAUCAAUUUUUUAUUCUUUCACUAUUUUAAGAUUAUUAGUGGAGCAAGUUAUCAAACAUCAUAACGAUUCGAAUAUGAUGAAGAACUUACGAAAAGCUACUGGUAGUAGCAGAAGCUGUUGCGGCAUUUGCAAAGAAGAAAAAAAAAAAAGCUACAAAAAGAGACUCUCUAUCAAAGGCAUGAAUUAUAUGUUGCGUUUGUGAACCAACAUUCUUUCAAGGUAGAAUAUGCUGAAGACAUUGCUCAACAAUUGAGUGGUAGUCUGUAAAUUCAUUAUCAAAGGUAUGAUUUUUAUGCAUCAGAUUGAUAAAUUUCGUCUAUAUACACUCUAUUUAUGUAUCAUAGUGCAAAAUGAAAUAAACGGUACUGUAAAUAUUAUUUUCGAUACAUAGAUCUAUUUUUGACAGGAAUAUUGCACUCAUUCUGAUACAUAGAUCUAUUUUCUGACCAAACUAUUGCAUGAUUCAGAUAAAUAGAAAGAUUUGUAUAUGAUAUGGGUUCUUUUACACCUCCUACAUUUAAUUUAUAUAUUUUUUUUGAUACAUAAAUAUAACGAAAUUAAGUUUCAAAUUCGUUUUAUGAUACAUAGAAAAAUUGUAUGCGAUAAGAGUUCUUUACACCUGCUACAUUCAAUAUAUUUUUUUCUAAUAUAUAGUACUAGCGAAAUUAAGUUUCAAAUUCGUUUACUGGUACGUAGAAAGAUAUGUAUGUGAUAUGAGUUUCGCAUUCCUGAUACAUUAAAAUUUUCACAUAGAAAGAUAUAUAUGUGAUAUGAGAUUCGCACUCCUGAGACAUCAAAUUCUUAUAUUAUGUUCAUUUUUUUUCCUGAACGUAGGGGAUGGGAUUUUUUAUGAUGAACAUGGAAUGAAUGAUUGGAGAAAGAAUUAGUUUUGGAAGAUUAUGACUGAUGAAACUUGAUUUGACUAUUCAAAUUUCAAAUAAUGAAGUUGUUAUAAAUUUUAUGUAAUUAACAAACACAAUCUUAAAUUGAGUUUGUUAAUUACUAAAUUGUUGGCGCUUUUACUGUUUUUUUUUCUUUUUAUCUCCAAUUGAUUAGUUAGUAAUGUAUCAUAAACUUACGUAUCGGGAAUUAAAUAAUGUAUCAUAUUCGGGAUAUCACGUAAUUAAUAAAAGUUGAAAGAGAGAGUAAUCAGGUAGUAAAAUAUUGGGAUUUAUGUAAAAUGCUCUAAAAAUAAUUGACAAUAUUCAACAUAUCAUUAAAAAUUAUUGUAAAGCGAUAAAUACUCUUUCAUCUUAAUCAAAGAUCUCGUGACCGAUCUUCAGAUAAAAUCAUCUUUGAUAAAAAACUAUUUACCCUUUAAAAUAAUUUUUUUUUGAUAUAAAUUAAGAUUAGACGAAUAUCAGAAUUCAAACAUCAGACAUAAGAUGAGACAAAAGAAACAUUAGAGCCUGGAUUUUAACAUUAUUUUGUUAAGUUAUUACUAUUGUUGUCCUCAAUUAUUGAUUUUUGGUAACUAUACACCUAUGUCCCCACCACCACUUACCCAUCGUGCGCUCCUCCAACAAAUUAUUUCCUUUCCACGAAAAAUUCUCUCCUUUUCCUUUUUUUUUUUUUCUUUUUCAUAACGAUUGUGUUUGUGUCGAUUUUUGUGUACCUUGAUUAAAUAUAUUGAAUAUGUAUCAUGUUUUAUGAGCAACAAAAUUCUUUCCUUUUCUACUUUUUUUUUUAAAUAAUGACGGUAUUUGUGCCAAUUUUUACAUAUCUCAACUAGACACGUGUUAUUUUUCAUCAACAACAAAUUUCUUUCUUUUUCCUUUUUUUUUUCUUUUUUUUUAAUCAUUGUGAUCAUGUCAACUUUUGUGCAUCUCAUUUAAAUCUAUGGAAUACUUGUCAUUUCUCACAAACAAUAAGUUUUGCUUUUUUUUUUUUUUUUUUUUUUAUGAUCGUGAUGAUCACGUCAUCUUUUGGACACCUUAUCUAAAUUCAUGAGAUACCUGUCACCUUCCCAUAAACAACAUAUUUUACUCUCAUUUUCCUUUUUUUUUUUUUUUUUUAUAAUUAUGAUAAUCACAUCAACUUUUACGCACCUCACGUAGAUUCACUGAAAACCUACCACCUUGCACAAGCAACAAAUUUCUCUCCUUUUCUUUUCCUUUCCUUCCCUUCAAAAAUCAAGAAACUUCUUCACAAAAUCAAGAAAUCCCCUUACACCAGAACAUUAAAGUAAUGGCUUUUUUUCUUGUGACCAAGAAUUUAAUGAACCCCAUCUAAUAAUUUUCUCUUUCUCAUGUUGCUGACGUGGUGAGAUACCAUUGGUUGUCUGAAUGAUAUGGGACCCACGUUAAGUAACACUUUAGCCACCAACCAACUCAUGAGCCAAAGUAUCUUAAGGUUGACCCAUUUUCUAGUCUCAUGUAGAUCACACAAAACAAAAUUCUUUGCCACUUUCUAAAUUAAGUGUUCAAGUUAUGAAAAAGGAAAGGUAGCUGAACGAGAGCAAUUUUAUCUUCAUGAUAUGAAAAAGGUAUGUAGUGAAAAUCUUGUUAUGUUUCUUUCUUGAAAAUAAUUGAAGCUUUAAUGGUUCUUUAAUGAUCUUUAGCUGAGAGUAUAACGAAAACAACCUUUUACUUUGUAAGAUAGGUGUAAGGUCUGUGUACUAUUAUCCUUCUCGGACCUCGCCUAUAAAAUUAUACUGAAUAUGUUGUUGUUGUUUUGCUUCUUGCAAGGUAAGGAAAAGGUGUGUACCUACUACCCUCCCCAAACAUCCCUCGUGAAAUUACACUGAAUAUAUUUUUGUUCUUGUUGUUUCCAUUCUUGAAAAUUGAGGCUUUAUUGGUUCUUCUAAUGGUCUACCAGAAACAGUCUCUGUAACUUGUAAGGUAGUGGUAAAGUAUGUGUACGUACCAUCCUUCUGAGUCACUUGUGGAAUUAAACUGUUUAUGUUGUUGUUGUUUCCCUUCUUGAAAAAUUUAAGCGUCAUUGGUUCUUUAAGGCAGUCUGAAGUAACUUAGGAAUCUCUAACAAAAAGGUAUGUAAUGAAAAUCUUGUUGUGUUCCUUUCUUGAAAAUAAUUGAAGCUUUAUUGGGGGUUUUAAUGGUCUUGAGCUGAGGGUCUAUCGGAAACAGUCGGGGUAAGGUAUGCAUACUCACUAACCUCCCCAGACGUAUGUUGUUGUUGUUUCAACUUUUGAAAACUUGAAGCUUUAUUGGUUCUUUAAUGGUUUUGAUCUGAAGGUCUAUGGGAAACAGUCUCUCUACCGUGUAAGGUAGGGGUAAAGUAUGUCUACGUACUAUCCUUCUCAGAUGUCACUUGUGGGAUUACAUUGUAUAUGUUGUUCCGCUUUUUGAUAAAUUGAAGCUUUAUUGGUUCUUUAAGGCAAUUUGCAAUAGUUGAUGAAAGUUAUUUUUGGCUUAGUUUGAUGAAUUUCUUGAGAAUUACUUACUUUUAUGCAAUUAUAGUGUUUUGGUGGAUAUAAGGUUUCUUGAUUUAGUGUUUGUAAAUUAUAUUCUUUGCCACUUUCUAAAUUAACUGUAUCAAGUUAUGAAAAAGGAAAGUUGAUUUAAAGAGUGCCAUUUUAUCUUCAUGGUGUGUGGAGAGCAUUUACUGAGAAUCCCAUGAGAUGUUUUUAAACAAAAAGAUAUUUAGUGAUAAUCUUGUUAUGUUUUUCUUGAGAAAAAUUGUAGCUUUAUUGGUUCUUUAAUGGUCUUGAGCUUGUUGAGGGUCUAUCGGAAACAGUCUAUUUACCUUGCAAGGUGUGGGUAAGGUAUGCAUACGCAGUAUCCUCCCCAGAAGUCACUUGUGGGAUUACACUGAUAUGUUGGUUGUUGUUAUUUUCCUUCUUGAAAAAUUUAAGCUUUAUUGGUUCUUUAAUGGUCUUGAGCUUAAGGGUUUAUCGGAAUAGUCUCUUUAUCUUGCAAGGUAGGGGUAACGUAUGUGUAUGCACUACCCUUCCCAGACCCCAUUUGUGGGAUUACACUGAAUAUGUUGUUGUUGUUUCGCUUUUAGAAAAAUUGAAUUAUUUGUUCUUUAAUGGUCUUGAGCUAAGGGUUUAUUAGAAACAGCCUUUCUAUCUUGCAACGUAGGGGUAAGAUAUGCGUACACACUACCCGCCCCAGACGUGACUCAUGGAAUUACACUGAAUAUGUUGUUGUUGUUGUUUCCCAUCUUGGAAAAUUGAAGCUUUAUUGGUUCUUUAAGGAUAUUUGAAGUAGUUGAUGAAAUUUAUGUUUGGCGUAUUUCAUAGUUUGGAGAAGUGUUUGAGAAUUACUUACUUUUUGGUAAGUAUAGUGUUUUAGUGGAUAUAAAGGUUUCUUGUUUAGUGUUUGUACAUAAUUCUUGUUGAAAAAAAAUUGAAGCUUUGUUGGUUCUGUAAGGCAAUUGGCAGUAGUUGAUGAACGUUAUGUUUGGGUUAAUUCUUCAUAGUUUGGAGAAGUAUUUUAGAAUUACCUAAUUUUGCGUAGUUAUAGUGUUUUGGUUGAUAUAGAGAUUAUUUGUUCAAGGGCAAGAGAGAGUUGCUCGGAUGGUAAGCAUCAUCCAACCUUUGAGAUUGUGUUUCAUAGCGGAAAAGGACUGGAGCUGCUAGGGAGGGGUAAAAGAAAAAACUUUUCUUGUUUAGUGUUUGUACGUAAUUUCUUGUGGAAAAGCCUUGAACUUUGAUUGAAACAAGAGAUGGACACAACAAUUUCUGCGUGUUUGAGCUCGGAGGAAGUUAAAUUCUAUUUUAGGUUUCGUGUGACACAGAAGAAGUUAGUAGGCGUAGCUAGGGGCAUAAGGGGUUUAACCGAACCCCUUAGCCGUAAGAUUAAACUGUGUAUAUCUAUGAGAUCAAAAUUAUUUUUAUGUAUAUAUAGUAUAUAUUGAUUCCAGAUGGUUUCUUCAUAUGUUUAAUUCUUUGUAAUUUGAACUCCGUAAGUGAAAAUCCUGCUUCCGCACCAGGUACAACAAACUAAAAUAGCUUGUGUUUACAGUUAGGAUUUUUAGUUUAAUCGAUAGAUAGAAGAGAAGUUGCAUGAUCGAAUUCUCAACAAACAUAAGCAAAUUGAUGUCUAUAAAUACUUGGUUAGCUUUAAUGUAAUUCGUAGUUACAGCUAAUUAGGUGGCUUCUUGCUCUAAUCCUAAGUUUUGAGAUUUGAAUCUUCUCAAAUAGCACAAAGCUAACAGAUUGUUGCACUUUGUUCUGGUUCAAUAUUCAGUUGCACCAGCGUUUUUCUUAUUUGUGAGGAAAAAGUGAAAAGAUUAUGUAUAGGAAAGAAAGGAUUUGAACAAUGAAAAAGUCAAGUCCUUACUCCUAACAAAGUCAUGAAGGUACGGUUGACGCAUGAGUGAAAAAUUCAGAUUGAUUAUCUGUAAAUAAUCGACUGAAGAUGUUAUGGGGUUAAACAAUACAACAAUAUACCUUUAGACAAAUUUGAGGGCUAAGAACAUGUUAUGUUUGUUAUUUCGCUUAGAAAUCUGAAAUGCUUCAACAUGGGAGAUGAUCAUUUUUGUUGGAAAAGGAAAUAUAGAGCUGGCAAAUCGAGAAUAUAAGCUUAUUAACACCCCGUCUUUGCUAUAUAGUCCUUCAAUAUCUCUUUCGCUUCUUAGGUUCCUACUUAAUUCAUUUGGUCUGUUAACUUCGGAAACUAGUAUGUACCUGCAUUUUCAUCUUGUGAUACUUCCAUUCCCAUUGCAGCUGCCUUAUCGGAAGUGCUGAUCAAUGGCAAUUGAAGAAUUGGUUGUACGUACUGCUGAUAUUAUCGAUCAACAAGCAAUGGAAACCUUGUUGAUCGAAAAUCACUCAAGUGAAGCCAAGGACAUGGAAAAGAUGAGGAGUUCGAUGGAAAUAUUGAGUAGAGUAGAUUUGGACCUUGCAUAUUCUGAUGAGAAAUUGACGAAUCUUGACAAUCUUUUGAUGCGUGUCUUGGCCUGCGAAAAUGAAGUUGAAGCAAUUUCUUUCGAGAAUGAUGAGAUUUCUCCUGACUCAAUUGAGAAAGUACUGACGUUGGAUCACUUAUCUGCCAUUUUAAACUCUGAGAUAAGGCAACUGGACAAUUUCAUAGGCACUCUUCAAGACCUUAUCACUGAAGCGAGGCAAAAGAUGUCUACGUGCAGAGAAUUUAGUGAGUUGCAUAUGAUAAUGGAGAAUAAAUUUCAUGAUACCGAAGAGUUGUUGCGACAAUCAAAGGAGCGUGUCCUAGAAAUGAAGAUGCAGCUUGCCAAGUUGCAGAUGACUUCAUUAGCUUUCGACAAAAAUGAAUGUAAGUUAUGAAACUUAUUAGGUUCAAGAACGCGAUUGUUUCUUUCUUUACUAACAUGUCAAGACAUUACAUCGUUUUGUGGUGCAUGUAUUAUCAGGGAGACAUAGUAUGAGUUUGGAUUUAUCAGACAUUAAUAAUGCGUCAACAAGAGAAUUUAAGCCACACAUGCAGACAGUUGAGCAAAGACGUAUAUUAAGAAUGUUGGAAAAAUCACUUGAAAGAGAGCUUGAUCUCGAGAAGAAGUUGACUCUACUUAAACAAAAUGAAGAUGAUCUAAAGUUGAAACUCCGGUUAACCGAGCAAGUAGCUCUAUGCAUGGAAGAGGGUGCAGAGGUUAUAUGGGGUAGGUUUUUAGAGUCAGAAAACACAGCAGAGGUACUCAUGGGAAUUUCCAGAGAAAUGGUUAGCCGACUACAGGUUGUUAACUUCAAUUUAAACGGUUCACUUCAACGAGAGAAAGAUUUCACAUCAAAGAUUGAUAAUUGCAUAGGACAGAUAAAUGCCAAAGAUAUUACCAUACAAAACCUUAAUAGCUGCAACAAACAACUUGCUGCUGAAAAUGCCGAAGUAUCCUCUUUAAGGGACAGGCUGAAACUUUUAGAAGAUAAGUUGAAAGAAUCCGAGUCUAAAUUACUUAAAGCAAAUGAACUGAAUGAAGCAAGUGAAGAGCGGCUUAAAGAACUGGAAUGUAUCGUAGAAUCUCAAAAAGAAGACAUCGAUAUUGCAGAACACAAGGCUGAAAGCGCAGAGGAAAAGGUUGCACAUUUGACCGAGACAAACUUGGAACUGCACGAAGAGUUGGAUUUUCUCAAGAGUAGUAAUGAAAGUAAUGCUAAAAAGGUCAGCAUUCUUGAGAAAAAGGUUAGAGAAUUAGAACUUCAGCUACAAAAUGCUAAGACUUCAUCAGAAGCAGGCCAAGAACAACAGAAUAUGCUGUAUUCAGCCAUUUGGGACAUGGAAACUUUAAUCGAUGAACUAAAACAAAAGGUCUUAAAAGCCGAAAGCAAGACUGAGCAUGCAGAGGAACAGUGCCUAAUUUUAUCUGAAGCUAAUUUAGAACUUACCAAAGAAGUAGAGUUUCUAAGAUCAAGAGUUGAAGGAUUGGAGACUUCUUUGAAUCAAGCUACUGUUGAGAAACUUGCAAGUGCAAAAGACAUUAACAUAAAAACCAGCUUUAUAAUGGAUCUAGUCAUGCAGCUAGCUAUAGAAAGGGAGCGAGUACAAAAACAGGUGCUUUAGUUUUCUUUUUUCUGUUGCUUUUUGUACGGAAAUUCAAAACUUAAAAGUGAUUGUAAGCACUGACUUGUUUUUACGCGACAGAUGUUUUGUUUGGCCAAGGAAAACAAAUCAUUGGUCAGGACGUUGGAGUCAAAAAAGGAUCAGCUGUCCAUAAAUGUACUUGUGAAUGGAGUUGAUGAUAUUGGGCUGUCAUCUUCUAGAGUUGCCUCAACAAUCGCUGCCGCUAAAGACAGUUCGUGUGAACUGCUAACAGAAUCUUCACUGAAGAGCUCCCAGGUACUUAUUGUCGUAUAGUCAUUCAGCAUUUACUAGAUGUUAUGUUCCAAUAUAUGCCACUUAAAGACAUUAGUAUGUUAUGUUUUUUAGUCUUUGCGUUAGAAUUGAGGUCUCAUGACUAAGGGGGAUCUUAGUAGUUCAGUAGGUUGUCUACCGAAACUUGCACCUUGUUGUUGAGGGUUCGAUUCCCCACCUUGUAAUCCCCUCCGCCAUUUGCCCUUCAAAAAAGAGAUGGUCUUAUGAUUAUGCUUUUGCAAAGACACAGAGUUUUGUGCUUAUAUAGGAUUAGUCUUCCAGCAGAUAGCUUUUUUGUUCUUCUCAAUAAGCUUCUUCCGGCGGCCAUUUACCGUUAACUCUGAUACAAACUUCCUUUCUCAACAGACUACCAAGCUCAUAACAAAAAAGAAAAAAAUGGUCUUUAUGCCAUUGAUAGAAAGUAGUAUAAAGAUAGCCUCAAGGCUUUGUGCAACUUGUGAUGUCUAGAUUAGGUGCGUGUCACUGGUUCGAACUCAAGCCCUGCAUUAGACAAAAACCUGGUAUUUAAGUGAAGGGUGGAGCAGUACUAUUAUCCACCGAGUUCCAAAUCAUAUGACACUAGCCCUCAGAGAUUUCUCGGUUAUUAAAGGAGAGUAGUCUAAAGAUGCUCAUUAGGCCUGACCUCACCGAACCUCAGAAACUAGCAGCACGUAAUAGAUUAAGGUUCUGAGGGUUAGUCACCUUGUUCUAUGUCAUCUAAUCUGCUAAAUCUUGAAUAUUUGCUCUAUUUAUUGAUGGUUCACGUGAUCUUUUAAUGGGCAUAAUACAUAAACAACUACUCAAACUCGGCCUCCGUUGGCAAGUAAGCACUCCAGCUUUGAGAGUGCACAUGUAGACACCUCAACUUGAUCUCAAUUGACAACUAAACAACUCGUCCCCACUGUGUCUCGUGAACACUUGACGCUGCUGAUGUGAGACACAAAUUUUGGAGGUGUCUAGAUGAUCGUUUCGUAAGUUGGGAGCGUUCAACUGACACUGUAUCAAAGUUUGAGCGUUUUACUUGCCAACCGAGGCCAAGUUUGAGUGGUUGACUUCAUUCAAUAAUCCUAAUAGAUGUUGGUACUCCGAUUCAGGUGAUCAACGAAUUAACUCCUGAUAAAACGACUGAUCAAAGCAGUAAGUCUUCCAUUUCGACAAAUGACGAGCCUUCUAUGGUUGUCAAGUCGGAGGAGACACAGGUUCAGUUACAGACAACACAACACCAACACAAGUACAUUGUCAUGGCAAUCUUCGUCUUGUUACUUUCAACAUUAGGAUUAUAUAUUUUUGACAAAAGAAACAACAUCCUCGACUGGUCGAUGGUUAGAUUAUAGUACUUGUGCUGCAAUACAUUGUACAGAUUCUUUGAUUGUUUUCGUGUUCAUGAUCUUCUUCUAUUCCCUGUAAAUGUUGUUGUUCAAAGCUCAAGAUAGAGCAAUUCUUUUAAGCAAAUUGUGUUGUUGGAAUGAUUAUUGCAAACUCAAAAGAUAUUAGCCAUUUGUAAAAGUAAUUGUGUUUUUAAUGGAAUGAGAAUUGUUGUUGAUUGUUCUUGUACUCAUUUUGCCUUAAAAACUCUUCUAAAAAGAGACAAAAAUAGUUCGGUCAUUCGAUUGUCAUUUCACAUUAUUUUAGGCAGAGUCUGUUUAUUUGACACCUCCAAGAAUUAUAUUUAUAAAUAACUCGAGAUCGAUCCAAAAUAAAGCGGAAAGAUUUUGUUUUCCUCAUCAUGAUGCGACAAUAAACUUCAUCGCCAUUUAAGUAAACAUUCUCUUAUACUCUUACCAAAAAAAAAAAAAAAAAAAUUUUUUUUAACCUCUACAAAAAAAAAAAAAAAAAAAAACAUUUAUCUUAUACAAUGAUGCAAUUCUAAGACCUGCAUAAAUGAUCAAUGGAGUAUAUAUGUUUUUUUUUUGAUUUAAUUAUUUACAUACGCAAGUCCCUUUUUCACAAACUACAUCCCCAAAUAUACAACGUACGUACUGACAAUCUUCUACAUCGCGGCACAUCCUGAACAGACGUGUUCGAUAAAUAAAAAAGGGCAGCCCAGUGCACUAAAGCUAUCGCUGUGCGUGGUGUUUGGGGAAGGGUUUCCAAGGCUUGAACCCGUGACCUCUUGGUCACAUGACAACAACUUUACCAGUUACUCCAAGACUCUCCUUCACGUGUUCGAUAAAUAAAUAAAAAAAUAUUGUCAUGAAUUAUUACGUACCUUUCAAUUUGGGGAAGUAUGUCUUUGGUGCUAAACAUGCACAAACCCCAUCAAUACAAGUUGGAAUCCCAAAUUGACCAUCACAUGAGAUGUUACAAUCUACUCCAAGCUUACAUUCAUUUCUUGUCACCAAACCUAAAAAUUAUGAACAAACUCGUUAGUAUAUCGAUAAAUUUGAAAGAAUUAGUUUUAUAGGUUACUCUAUUUAAUAAGAGAUCUUUAUUUUACAGAGAAAUCUGAAAAAGUCUUUUUUUUUUUUUUUUUCAUUUUGCAAAUGACAAAGAGAUCUUAAUCCCUCGAUACAUUUUUGGAGAAUCUAGCUGCCUAGUUAUAUAAAUUCCAUCAUAGAAAAAAAGAGAAAAUAGAAAUAUACCAUAACCAUGCGAAAUAAUCAAGAAGGUAACGACCAAAACUACAUAAGUUCUUAAAGCCUUGUCCAUACUGCCUAAGAAAAAGUUU
RNAcentral lists this long non-coding RNA (14673 nucleotides) under Capsicum annuum. Its description in RNAcentral is "long non-coding RNA (CANN_LNC018141)". The record is from RNAcentral. Lineage: Eukaryota; Viridiplantae; Streptophyta; Magnoliopsida; Solanales; Solanaceae.